Molecule: ribosomal RNA, 565 nt
Filed under: Ambrosiozyma ambrosiae
Lineage: Eukaryota; Fungi; Ascomycota; Pichiomycetes; Pichiales; Pichiaceae
Description: eukaryotic LSU rRNA
Rfam family: Eukaryotic large subunit ribosomal RNA
Source: RNAcentral
AAACCAACAGGGAUUGCCUUAGUAGCGGCGAGUGAAGCGGCAAGAGCUCAAAUUUGAAAUCUGGUACCUUUGGUGCCCGAGUUGUAAUUUGAAGAUCACAAUCUUGGAAUUGGUCCUUGUCUAUGUUCCUUGGAACAGGACGUCACAGAGGGUGAGAAUCCCGUGCGAUGAGGAUACCUUUUUCAUUUAAGAUGUGUUCGACGAGUCGAGUUGUUUGGGAAUGCAGCUCAAAGUGGGUGGUAAAUUCCAUCUAAAGCUAAAUAUUGGCGAGAGACCGAUAGCGAACAAGUACAGUGAUGGAAAGAUGAAAAGAACUUUGAAAAGAGAGUGAAAAAGUACGUGAAAUUGUUGAAAGGGAAGGGUAUUUAAUCAGACUUGGUAUUUAGCUAUCUCUUCUCCUUGUGGGAGGGGCUCUAGCUUUUUACUGGGCCAGCAUCAGUUUUGGUGGUAAGAUAAUCGCAGUUGAAUGUGGCUCCUCGGAGUGUUAUAGCUUCUGUUGAUGUUACCUACUGGGACUGAGGUCUGCGGCUUUGCCUAGGAUGCUGGCGUAAUGAUUAAACACCGC